GAUGAACGCUGGCGGCGUGCCUAAUACAUGCAAGUCGAGCGAACAGACGAGGAGCUUGCUCCUCUGACGUUAGCGGCGGACGGGUGAGUAACACGUGGAUAACCUACCUAUAAGACUGGGAUAACUUCGGGAAACCGGAGCUAAUACCGGAUAAUAUAUUGAACCGCAUGGUUCAAUAGUGAAAGACGGUUUUGCUGUCACUUAUAGAUGGAUCCGCGCCGCAUUAGCUAGUUGGUAAGGUAACGGCUUACCAAGGCAACGAUGCGUAGCCGACCUGAGAGGGUGAUCGGCCACACUGGAGCUGAGACACGGUCCAGACUCCUACGGGAGGCAGCAGUAGGGAAUCUUCCGAAAUGGGCGAAAGCCUGACGGAGCAACGCCGCGUGAGUGAUGAAGGUCUUCGGAUCGUAAAACUCUGUUAUUAGGGAAGAACAAAUGUGUAAGUAACUAUGCACGUCUUGACGGUACCUAAUCAGAAAGCCACGGCUAACUACGU
This 496-nucleotide ribosomal RNA is filed under the name uncultured bacterium. Its description in RNAcentral is "partial 16S ribosomal RNA". It matches the Rfam family "Bacterial small subunit ribosomal RNA", at positions 28 to 506 of the family's 1533-position model. The record is from RNAcentral.